This 253-nucleotide ribosomal RNA is filed under the name uncultured bacterium. RNAcentral's name for it is "partial 16S ribosomal RNA". It matches the Rfam family "Bacterial small subunit ribosomal RNA", at positions 524 to 776 of the family's 1533-position model. The record is from RNAcentral.
UACGGAGGGUGCAAGCGUUAAUCGGAAUUACUGGGCGUAAAGCGCACGCAGGUGGCUGAGUCAGUCGAUUGUGAAAGCCCUGGGCUUAACCUGGGAAUUGCAGUCGAUACUACUUAGCUCGAGUAUGGGAGAGGGCAGUGGAAUUCCCGGUGUAGCGGUGAAAUGCGUAGAUAUCGGGAGGAACAUCAGUGGCGAAAGCGACUUCCUGGACCAAUACUGACGCUCAUGUGCGAAAGCGUGGGGAGCAAACAGG